ACGGAGGGUGCAAGCGUUGCUCGGAAUUACUGGGCGUAAAGCGCACGCAGGCGGCGUGCCAAGUCGAGUGUGAAAUCCCUGGGCUCAACCCAGGAACUGCACUCGAAACUGGCACACUUGAGUCCGAGAGAGGGUGGUGGAAUUCCUGGUGUAGAGGUGAAAUUCGUUGAUAUCAGGAGGAACACCGGCGGCGAAGGCGGCCACCUGGCUCGGUACUGACGCUCAUGUGCGAAAGCGUGGGGAGCAAACAGG
Molecule: ribosomal RNA, 252 nt
Filed under: uncultured bacterium
Lineage: Bacteria
Description: partial 16S ribosomal RNA
Rfam family: Bacterial small subunit ribosomal RNA
Source: RNAcentral